CCUACGGGAGGCAGCAGUGAGGAAUAUUGGACAAUGGGCGAGAGCCUGAUCCAGCCAUGCCGCGUGCAGGAAGACGGCCCUAUGGGUUGUAAACUGCUUUUACAGAGGAAGAAACACCCCCUCGUGAGGGGGCUUGACGGUACUCUGCGAAUAAGGAUCGGCUAACUCCGUGCCAGCAGCCGCGGUAAUACGGAGGAUCCAAGCGUUAUCCGGAAUCAUUGGGUUUAAAGGGUCCGUAGGCGGGUUAAUAAGUCAGUGGUGAAAGUCUGCAGCUCAACUGUAGAAUUGCCAUUGAUACUGUUAACCUUGAGUAAUUAUGAAGUGGUUAGAAUAUGUAGUGUAGCGGUGAAAUGCAUAGAUAUUACAUAGAAUACCGAUUGCGAAGGCAGAUCACUAAUAAUUCACUGACGCUGAGGGACGAAAGCGUAGGUAGCGAACAGGAUUAGAUACCCUGGUAGUCUACGCCGUAAACGAUGGUUACUAGCUGUUUGGCUCGAUUGAGAGCUGAGUGGCUAAGCGAAAGUGAUAAGUAACCCACCUGGGGAGUACGUUCGCAAGAAUGAAACUCAAAGGAAUGACGGAAUCUCGACUGCAGGGCCCCG
Molecule: ribosomal RNA, 602 nt
Filed under: Salegentibacter sp. ZJ0208B56
Lineage: Bacteria; Pseudomonadati; Bacteroidota; Flavobacteriia; Flavobacteriales; Flavobacteriaceae
Description: bacterial SSU rRNA
Rfam family: Bacterial small subunit ribosomal RNA
Source: RNAcentral